RNAcentral lists this unclassified non-coding RNA (572 nucleotides) under Hevea brasiliensis (rubber tree). Lineage: Eukaryota; Viridiplantae; Streptophyta; Magnoliopsida; Malpighiales; Euphorbiaceae. The record is from RNAcentral.
GAGAUCCCGAUCAAGCUCGAGGGCAUUUUGACCAGAUGAUCAAGUGGGUCACCAGGCCUGAUGACCGGUGCACUGCCAGCAUGAUAGCAGCAUACAUGAAGAAGAACUUCCUGAAUAAAGCUCUAGAACUGCUCCUGACUCUCGAGAAGGGUGGGUUUGAGCCUGGGAUUGCGACGUACACUGUGCUGGUGGACUGGAUGGGGAGAUUACUGUUGGUGGAGGAGGCGGAACGGUUUCUGAGUGCGAUACGAGAGAAAGGGGAGGCGCCAUUUGAGAUUCAUGUGAGCCUGUGUGACAUGUAUGCCAGAGCUGGAGAGGAGGAGAAAGCUCGCCGAUCCCUCAAGGUGUUGCAGGGGAGAAAAGAGUUGCUGAGAGGCGAUCAGUUUGAGAUGGUCGUGACUAGUCUUUUGGAGGGCGGGCUGGCAGAGGAAGCAAAGAAGAUGUAUGAGUUGAUGCAGGCUCAGGGUUUUACUCCAUCUGAGACCCUCAGAGUGGCACUCAUGGCAGCUCAAACAAUGCCUCGGCAAAAGCAACCUAUGGCAGCUCAAACAAUGCCUCGGCAAAAGCAACCU